Molecule: non-coding RNA, 506 nt
Organism: Cherax quadricarinatus
Lineage: Eukaryota; Metazoa; Arthropoda; Malacostraca; Decapoda; Parastacidae
Source: RefSeq, a predicted model, not a curated record
UGGAGCACUACACGUCACCUGAGUCCACCAUCACACCGCCGUUCUCGCCAGUUUUUAGCCAUUUUCUCGCCCAAAUAUCCAUCUUUUCGCCAUCGUGGAUAUUGUGGUUGUGAUAUGAAUCAGUAUGGUUGAAGGAUCGACCCCAGACAUGGGGGCUGCGGAGGGGGUUGUUGCCCCUCCGCAGCAGCAGCGAGCGAGGAGGUCGUGGUGCUGCAGAUUCCUCCGGUGACAACCCGUCGCCCAACCAUCUGUUAUGGUCGCAUCCUCCUGGGCGAGAUAACACCACUGCUGGCCGCCAUGAAGCGGUCAACUCCCCGCUGGUCGUCACACCAGCAGGACAUGGAACGUGAUCCGCUGGUCAUGAAGUUGAAGGAGUUGAGGACUACGGUCACCUCCCUGGGUCCAGAUGACACCAUGGACCCCAGUACAUUCCUGGAUCCAUUUCUGGCAAUCAUCCGUUCUGAGGACACCACCGGGCCUGUCACCAAAGGUGCUCUGGCUGCUGU